RNAcentral lists this ribosomal RNA (399 nucleotides) under uncultured bacterium. RNAcentral's name for it is "partial 16S ribosomal RNA". It matches the Rfam family "Bacterial small subunit ribosomal RNA", at positions 360 to 773 of the family's 1533-position model. The record is from RNAcentral.
AAUAUUGCGCAAUGGGGGAAACCCUGACGCAGCGACGCCGCGUGAGCGAAGAAGGCCUUCGGGUCGUAAAGCUCUGUUCUUGGGGGCGCAAGAAAUGACGGUACCCAAGGAGAAAGCCCCGGCUAACUACGUGACAGCAGCCGCGGUAAUACGUAGGGGGCAAGCGUUGUCCGGAAUUAUUGGGCGUAAAGGGUGCGUAGGCGGCCUUUUAAGUCAGAUGUGAAAGCCCACGGCUUAACCGUGGGACUGCAUUUGAAACUGGAGGGCUUGAGUAUCGGAGAGGGUAGUGGAAUUCCCAGUGUAGCGGUGGAAUGCGUAGAUAUUGGGAGGAACACCAGUGGCGAAGGCGACUACCUGGACGAAAACUGACGCUGAGGCACGAAAGCUAGGGGAGCAAAC